Molecule: unclassified non-coding RNA, 275 nt
Filed under: uncultured fungus
Lineage: Eukaryota; Fungi
Description: partial contains small subunit ribosomal RNA, internal transcribed spacer 1, and 5.8S ribosomal RNA
Rfam family: Eukaryotic small subunit ribosomal RNA (bases 1-73)
Source: RNAcentral
ACAAACUUGGUCAUUUAGAGGAAGUAAAAGUCGUAACAAGGUUUCCGUAGGUGAACCUGCGGAAGGAUCAUUAGCGAAACAUCCAACGGUUGGUGUCCCGGCGCCUAACGGGUCGGGCCCAACCGGUUAUCACAUACACCGUCGAACUGUUGGGGGUUGGUUCUGCCUUCCCCCGCCUUUUCAAACUCUUAAGUCUAGUAUGAAGUUUAGGUGAAAACCAAAACACAACUUUCAACAACGGAUCUCUUGGCUCUCGCAUCGAUGAAGAACGCAGC